GAUGAACGCUGGCGGCGUGCUUAACACAUGCAAGUCGAACGGACUUUAUUUGAAGCCUAGCGAUAAUAAAGUUAGUGGCGCACGGGUGAGUAACGCGUGAGUAACCUGCCUUCAAGAGGGGGACAACAGUUGGAAACGACUGCUAAUACCGCAUAAUAUAUCGAGAUCGCAUGAUAUUGAUAUCAAAGGAGCAAUCCGCUUGAAGAUGGACUCGCGUCUGAUUAGAUAGUUGGUGAGGUAACGGCGUCACCAAGUCUACGAUCAGUAGCCGGACUGAGAGGUUGACCGGCACAUUGGGACUGAGAUACGGCCCAGACUCCUACGGGAGGCAGCAGUGGGGAAUAUUGGGGCAAUGGGCGAAAGCCUGACCCAGCAACGCCGCGUGAAGGAAGAAAGGGCCUUCGGGUUGGUAAACGUUACUUUUACCUAGGG
This 432-nucleotide ribosomal RNA is filed under the name uncultured bacterium. Its description in RNAcentral is "bacterial SSU rRNA". It matches the Rfam family "Bacterial small subunit ribosomal RNA", at positions 28 to 445 of the family's 1533-position model. The record is from RNAcentral.